CACAUGCAGUCGAACGAAGCACCUCUCCCGAAGAUUGACACAGCUUGCUGUAGAUUGAUUCAUUUGAGGUGACUGAGUGGCGGACGGGUGAGUAACGCGUGGGUAACCUGCCUCAUAGAGGGGGACAACAGUUGGAAACGACUGCUAAUACCGCAUAGUAAGAAGAAUUCGCAUGUUUUCUUCUUGAAAGAUUUAUCGCUAUGAGAUGGACCCGCGUCUGAUUAGCUAGUUGGUAAGGUAACGGCUUACCAAGGCGACGAUCAGUAGCCGGCUUGAGAGAGUGAACGGCCACAUUGGGACUGAGACACGGCCCAAACUCCUACGGGAGGCAGCAGUGGGGAAUAUUGCACAAUGGGGGAAACCCUGAUGCAGCGACGCCGCGUGAGUGAAGAAGUAUUUCGGUAUGUAAAGCUCUAUCAGCAGGGAAGAUAAUGACGGUACCUGACUAAGAAGCCCCGGCUAACUACGUGCCAGCAGCCGCGGUAAUACGUAGGGGGCAAGCGUUAUCCGGAUUUACUGGGUGUAAAGGGUGCGUAGGUGGCAAGGCAAGUCAGAUGUGAAAGCCCGGGGCUCAACCCCGGUACUGCAUUUGAAACUGUCUAGCUAGAGUGCAGGAGAGGUAAGCGGAAUUCCUAGUGUAGCGGUGAAAUGCGUAGAUAUUAGGAGGAACACCAGUGGCGAAGGCGGCUUACUGGACUGUAACUGACACUGAGGCACGAAAGCGUGGGGAGCAAACAGGAUUAGAUACCCUGGUAGUCCACGCCGUAACGAUGAAUACUAGGUGUCGGGGCCCACAGGGCUUCGGUGCCGCAGCAAACGCAUUAAGUAUUCCACCUGGGGAGUACGUUCGCAAGAAUGAAACUCAAGGAAUUUGACGGGGACCGCA
RNAcentral lists this ribosomal RNA (886 nucleotides) under uncultured bacterium. Its description in RNAcentral is "bacterial SSU rRNA". It matches the Rfam family "Bacterial small subunit ribosomal RNA", at positions 52 to 925 of the family's 1533-position model. The record is from RNAcentral.